RNAcentral lists this ribosomal RNA (2778 nucleotides) under Elphidium excavatum. RNAcentral describes it as "SSU rRNA". The stretch from base 465 to 2778 matches the Rfam family "Eukaryotic small subunit ribosomal RNA". The record is from RNAcentral. Lineage: Eukaryota; Foraminifera; Rotaliida; Elphidiidae.
CUCAAAGAUUAAGCCAUGCAAGUGGUUAUUAUAACCCGACAGUUUAAAUAAGUGUUGGUAUUCAGUAUACACACCAAACAAGUGAUACAUAUCACUUAUGCAACUGCAGACAGCUGCUUAAUACAGUCGCACUUGUCUUGACUUGGCACAACCCAUUUACACUGUGACCGUUUGUCUUCGGGCAGCACACAGAUGUAAAAUGAUACACGCACCCAAAAUGCUAAAAAACAAAAUUAACGGAUAACUCAGGGAAAGUUUGGCUAAUACGUACGAACUAUAUGAUGAAUUCUACACACACACACACCCCAUUCAUUCAUAUUCACAUUCAGUGGUUGGUUUUAUCCAUGCGCAACAUGAGAGACACUGAACACGCAGUAUGUGUACGACUUCGGUCUACGCAUACAUACGCUGAGUUGAUAUGAUACGAUUUUCUCGUAUUAUACAUGUCAUACAAGCAUCUACAGCAUCAAGUCACAGGGUUGGCAAGUGUAUUAUUGAACCUUCAAAGCAGUCACGCAUACGGAAGAGUAGUUUCUGAUCCCAUAGAAGGAGCACAGUACAAUGAGAGACGGCUCUUAGUUCUAAGGAACGCAGCAGGCGCGUAAAUUGUCCAGUGAUAGUACAAUUUAUUUUUUUACUACUGAAUUUACCACACGCAAAUUUAAUACUGUACGAAAAAAAAUAAUUUAUUGAGACAGUGACAAGCUGUAACGGUUGAGUAUAUAAAUUAUGACGAGUGUCUGACUUCUGCCGCUACUUCGGUAGCUUGGCGAGUGUCGACACUUUGUGUGCUCAAUUGGAAUGCGGUGAGUUUAAAACACUCAGAACCUGGCCAUUGGUGUUUGCGUAAUGCUUUCAUCAUUUGGGUGUAUCUGAAUUUUCAAGUGGAGGGCAAGUCUGGUGCNNNNNNCCGCGGUAAUACCAGCUCCACUGGCCUAUACAAUCAUUGUUGCGGUUAAGAGGCUCGUAGUUGGAUUGAAUAACUUUUACGACGUUGUAAGAAAAUCUUUAGAAUUUUCUACACACACACACACCCACUUUUUCAACACUGUGAACAAAUCAGAGUGUAUCAAACAUGUCUUUUUACACGCACUGAGUGUCCGAUCAUGGAAUGUUGCUUAUGUAAAUAUUUUGACAUGUACACUCACUCUAAAAUUUUUAUUUACACGUCGAUGGAGAUAGUUGGAGUCAACAGUAUUACUGGGCGAGCGGUGAAAUGCAUUGACCCUAGUACGACUACCAAAAGCGAAAGCAGUUGGCUAGGCUAUACUCUUUGUGGAUGCAUGUUUGCGUGACUAUAUGAUUUGCUAAGAUUUUACACGCACACUGACAAAAAAAGCAAAUUUCAUUGAUCGCACAUGCAAUACACUUUACAACGAAGAACGAAGGUUGGGGGAUCAAAGAGGAUCAGAUACCCUCGUCGUCCCAUUUUUACAUCAAACGAUGGGCUCUCAAUUGCACACUUUUCCGUGUGUAGUUGUUUUAUUAUAUUCCCAACCUGCAACAUUUUUAGCUGACUUGAGCUUACGCUCGUCGCUUUAAAUUCAUUGCUAACUCAGGAGUUAAUAUUUUCCGCACAUACUUUCUAUACGGUAGUUAUUAAUGCGAUGUAUUCAUGUUUUUAAUGUGUUUCUUCGUUGACUACUCUGAUUUUCGGAGCUUUGCGCUCAAUUUAUUUGGUGAGAUGUAAGCACGCGUGAUUGUAUUAUGGUACGUCGUUGCCUUCGGGUGACACUACUCAUUUUUUACAUUCACAAAUUUUGUGUGACGCACGUGUUAGGCACGGGCUUACUGCAGAAAUGUUUAAGACACUUCUUUCCUGGGGUAGUAUGCAUGCAAGUGUGAAACUUGAAGGAAUUGACGGAAGGGCACCACAAGAACGCGUGGAUCAUGUGGCUUAAUUUGACUCAACGCGGGAAAUCUUACCGGGUCCGGACACACUGAGGAUUGACAGGUUCCGAGAGUUUUUGCUUCGGCAAUGCUCUCUUAAAUAUGCUAGUCCUUUCAUGAUUAUGUGAUAGGUGGUGCAUGGCCGUUCUUAGUUCGUGGAGUGAUCUGUCUGCUUAAUUGCGUUUUACUAAAGGCGUCAUAUCUGUUUUGUGCGUGUUUGACCCCUCUUCGGAGCGCGUGUCUUCACGCACAAUUACUUUGGCGUCUGAAAGCAACGAACGUGACCGUAACCUCUUGUUGCCUUCUCUUCUCCUCGGAGAAUGCUGUUUGUUUUUGCAGGCAGUAUAUGGAGGCUUUUUUACUCAACAACUAGAGGGACCGCUGUUUCUUUCUUUAAACCAGAGGAAGGAUACGGCAAUAACAGGUCUGUGAUGCCCUUAGAUGUUCCGGGCUGCACACGUGAUACAUUGAUUACUUCAGUGAGUAUCUACGUUUUACUGCGUGGCAUUGCAAUCCAUAUUUCUUCGGAAGUGUGUUUUUGUUUUCCGCCUCAACCUGCUUCGAAAGCAUGCGGGUAACCAAUUAGAAGUAGUGAUUUCCUUUUUUAUAAGCACACUAAUAUGGGGCAUCAUCACCCGGCAUGCCUUGUUGUAUGUUUUGUGUGUGGUGUUUGCUUUUCCAUGUGCUUUUGUCAAUUCAUAGUGGGGAUAGACCAUUGUUAAUUGUUGGUCUCGGUCUUAACUAGGAAUGCCUUGUACGAGUUUAUGGUUCAACAAACCACUCGGAAUACGUCCCUGCCCUUUGUACACACCGCCCGUCGCUCUUACCGAUGGAUUAUAUUAUGAGUCGGCAGGACCGUUUAGGAAAUGUUCGCGAAUAAUGUGAUCU